RNAcentral lists this long non-coding RNA (2277 nucleotides) under Salmo salar (Atlantic salmon). RNAcentral describes it as "lncRNA (ENSSSAG00000117529.1)". The record is from RNAcentral. Lineage: Eukaryota; Metazoa; Chordata; Actinopteri; Salmoniformes; Salmonidae.
UACUGGAAUCCCCUCCCAGUUGGCUACCUUAAAAUGGCGGAAGCUAACAAUGGCAAUGACUAUGCUAUCUAUGAUGAGUCCUCUAUCUAUCUCUAUGACAACAGGCACAACUGCAAUAUAAAGUCGUUUCCCGAAAUGCCACGUAGGUCUACUUAUAUCAGUGCAUUCAACCUAACCAUUUCAACAUUUCUAUUCGAUCAAAUAAGCCUCAGGUAGCAAAUGAGCAAUUACAUUUUUGUUGACCAAAUUCGACUCUCUCGUUCACCUACAUACAAAAAUUCCUCACUUCGUGGGUUUAUUUCAUGGAAAGAUUUUAGGCGGAGUAAAACCUCUCGCUUCGCCUUUUCCUCUCUGUUCUAGCGCAGAGCUCGCUGUUUCUAGCAAGUGUAAACAAAAGGAAAUUGACAUCUUGCAGUCUUGCAUAUCUUGGAAAAGGCAAUCGGCGGAUUAAGCUUUUUACUUGUUGAGUAAAUCGCUAGCUACAUUUAUAUAGUAGUGUGUUAUUUGAGUAUUCAAUUUUGUGUAUAUCCUCGCGCCUUUUAAUUUGAGCUUCAGAUUGAGCAGAAGAAGUGGAAGUCAAAACAUGGUGGAGACACGCACAGAGUCCUUGGAUGACAGCUCCGAUGAUGAACCCCUAAUUGCAUUAGUAAAGAAGAAGCCGCAGCACAUUGAACACAAUGGGACUCCGGGUGAAAAAGACCAAAACCGACAACCUGAACCUGAGUCAAAGAAUAGCACAAGAAAAGAUUCUGGGUUGGAUGACACCUCAGAUGAUGAGCCUUUGACGAAGUUGGUGAAUAAACUUCCCAGCGCUAAAAAAUCCACUGUACAAGCAAAGAGGCCAGGGAAUACUAAUAGCAAAAGAGGAACAGGUAAUGGCAUCAAGAAGACAAACAACAAAUUCACAGGUUCAACCCAGAAUGAGGAUUCCUAUGACAGCUCAGACGAUGAGCCCUUGAUAAAGAUGGUUAAAAAGAUCCCUAAACAGACAUCAUUGCCAUUCAAAAAGAGACCCUUCAACACAGCCAGAGAGGUGAACGAUGUGAAGAAGCGCAGAAAUAUCUCACAGAAUAAAAUAAGCACAGACUCAUCAUCAAGUGACAGCUCAGAUGACAUGCCCCUGACUAAGAUGGUCGACAAACUCAAGACACAAAUGCGAACGAAGACACCCACCACUACAGUCAGAAAAACACCUGGCAUUAAAAAGCCCAGGAAAGUUUUAAAAAAACACAACAGGAGUAUAGAGACCUCAGAUGACAGCUCUGAUGAUGAGCCAUUAAUAAAUCUGACCAAGAAGUCUCCAUCUAAAGAGACUGAAAGGACAAUGCUGAAGAAGUGUGUCGCUAAGGAAUCAAACAGCAACAACUGUAAUAAAAUUAAAGGGAAAAUAAGCAGAGAGGAAGAGGUGAGUUCUGAUGACGAGCCCUUGAUAAAUCUAGUCAAGAAGCCUCUUAAAGCUGUAAAGAAGACCACGACACCAUUAAAGAAGAGGAGCGUAUCAGGAAAGACUGUGGUAGCCAGAAAGAAGACGAGACCAGACAUUGUGAACAAAGCAGUCAUCAGACGGAGCACCAAAGUUGUUCAAAGCACACGUGAAGGGUCUUUGGAUGACAGCUCAGACGAUGGGCCCUUGAGUAAAAAGAUGGUGAGAAAUCCACCAAUGAAGAGCCUAAUGCUGAUUCUGGAGAGAUGUGACACUAAAGAAGUCUUGGAAGAUAACUAUAGAGCCAACGUGGGAAACACCAGUAAAAGAAGUGCAGAUACGCCUACCUCCUGGAGGGUGUUCUUGAUCUGGACAACUGUUGUGAAGGGGUUUUUCUUCACCAGGGAAAGAAUUCUUCUGUCAUCUACCACAGUUGUUUUCCGUGGUCUUCCGGGCUUUUUGGUGUUCCGGAGCUCACCAGUGUGUUCUUACUUUUUAAGAAUGUACCAAAUAGUUGAUUUGGCCACAACUAAUGUUUUAGCUAUCGCUCUGAUGGGUUUGUUUAGAUUGUUCAGCCUAAUGAUGGCUUGCUUCACUGGCAGUGACAGCUCUUUGGACUUCAUAUUGAGGGUUAACAGCAACAGAUUCCAAAUGCAAAUGCCACACUUGAAAUCAUCUCUAGACCUUUUAUCUGCUUACUUGUAAAUGAACUAAUGAGGGAAUAACACACCUGACCAUGGAACAGCUGAGCAGACAGUUGUCCAAUUACUUUUGGUCCCUUAAAAAGGGGGGGCACAUAUAAAAAGUGCUUUAAUUCCUACACCAUCCACCCAAUUGACAUGUAAAUACUGUAA